AACGAACGCUGGCGGCGCGCCUAACACAUGCAAGUCGAACGAGAAUCCGGGGCAACCCGGUAGUAAAGUGGCAAACGGGUGAGGAAUACAUGGGUAACCUACCCUUGAGAAGGGAAUAACCCGCCGAAAGGUGAGCUAAUACCCUAUACGCUAUCUUUUUUUCGAAAAGGAUAGGAAAGCCGGGUCGAGGACCUGGUACUCAAGGAGGGGCUCAUGUCCUAUCAGCUUGUUGGUGGGGUAACGGCCUACCAAGGCUACGACGGGUAGCUGGUCUGAGAGGAUGAUCAGCCACACUGGCACUGAGUUACGGGCCAGACUCCUACGGGAGGCAGCAGUGAGGAAUAUUGCGCAAUGGGCGAAAGCCUGACGCAGCGACGCCGCGUGGGGGAUGAAGGUUUUCGGAUUGUAAACCCCUUUCAUGAGGAAGAUAAAGUGGGUAACCACUUAGACGGUACCUCAAGAAGAAGCCACGGCUAACUUCGUG
This 484-nucleotide ribosomal RNA is filed under the name uncultured bacterium. Its description in RNAcentral is "bacterial SSU rRNA". It matches the Rfam family "Bacterial small subunit ribosomal RNA", at positions 29 to 507 of the family's 1533-position model. The record is from RNAcentral.